GAUGAACGCUGGCGGCGUGCCUAAUACAUGCAAGUCGAGCGAACAGAUGAGGAGCUUGCUCCUCUGACGUUAGCGGCGGACGGGUGAGUAACACGUGGAUAACCUACCUAUAAGACUGGGAUAACUUCGGGAAACCGGAGCUAAUACCGGAUAAUAUAUUGAACCGCAUGGUUCAAUAGUGAAAGACGGUUUUGCUGUCACUUAUAGAUGGAUCCGCGCCGCAUUAGCUAGUUGGUAAGGUAACGGCUUACCAAGGCAACGAUGCGUAGCCGACCUGAGAGGGGGAUCGGCCACACUGGAACUGAGACACGGUCCAGACGCCUACGGGAGGCAGCAGGAGGGAAUCUUCCGCAAUGGGCGAAAGCUUGACGGAGCAACGCCGCGUGAGUGAUGAAGGUCUUCGGAUCGUAAAACGCUGUUAUUAGGGAAGAACAAAUGUGUAAGUAACUAUGCACGUCUUGACGGUACCUAAGCAGAAAGCCACGGCUAACUACGU
This 496-nucleotide ribosomal RNA is filed under the name uncultured bacterium. Its description in RNAcentral is "partial 16S ribosomal RNA". It matches the Rfam family "Bacterial small subunit ribosomal RNA", at positions 28 to 506 of the family's 1533-position model. The record is from RNAcentral.